Phascolarctos cinereus (koala) is the source of this 1472-nucleotide non-coding RNA. Lineage: Eukaryota; Metazoa; Chordata; Mammalia; Diprotodontia; Phascolarctidae. The record is from RefSeq and is a predicted model, not a curated record.
GAGCAGUGUUGCAUAAAUGCACAAGGAACCUGGAACUUGGAAGAGCUGGAGUCUUACCUCUGACACUUACUGGCUGUGUGAUGUGCUAUCGAUGAACAUUGUGUUACAUUUUAGAAGUACUGGAAAUGCUGCUCCCAGUUCUCAGAGCCAUGGACCUGUCAUUCAUCUGAACAGCUCCUGAUGUCCUCCUGCCCUUCACUUGGCUCCCAAAUAAUUUCCCCAGAUAAGUUUUAGUCUUUCCUAGGGUUAGAAGCAACUCAGUCCCUAACAAAGUAGGGCACUCAAUAAAUACCUUAUUGAAUAAAUGAGUAAAAGAAAGAAUAAGGGGACCAAGGCAGUACAUCUUGAAUGGAUAGAGGAUUUGGUUCCUUGAUAAACAGUUGAGUCCAUCUUUUAUGGCCAUACAAGAUAGACUGAAAGAACUCUAUUGAAUCUUGGAGUGACCCAGAAGUUCAGGAACAGAAGGAAACCACUUUCUUGUGAAUUUGGAACUUCAGGCAAUCCCUUUCUCCAAUAUUCAUUUUAUCCUUACUCUUCUUAACUCUUUCAAGCCAAGAAAUUACUGUCUAGCAAAUGACUGCCAUUUUUUACUCAGUUGGGCUGAAAUCAUUAAGGCUUUUUCCAGAUUCUAAACAGACAUCUGGCUCAAUGUUUGCCUUUUUCUAGGCAGCAGGAAUUAAACAUUCAGCAAUAUUGGUUUCUUGGUUUCUCUAGGGAAGUGGCUCUUUCGGAAAUUGUCCCUGUAUGUUUUCUUGUUUGGCUUGUUGGAAAUUGUACCUCUUGGACAGGCAGUAGUAUUUCUAUUUCUCAUGGUUAUGGGUCAGGGCUCUGACCUCCAUGUGUUUAAAAUCCUUCAAUUUUGAAUAAAAUGCAUUUACACAAUUCUUCUGACACUGCAUUGCCUGAGCUGCGCAAAGGCUAAAUCUGGAAAGGUUUAACAGAUCAGAAUCAAUUCUUCCACUUAUGCACAAGGGAUUAACACAGGCAACUCCCAUUAAUGUUAAUCAUCCAAACCUCUCAACUAUUAAAGUUUCACUGCUCUCAGGGAAAGAAAUCACACAUUAGAAGGAAGUGGAUAGGAAAGUAAAUUAUUCCCAUACAUCUUAGUGCAUAGGGAAAAGGGUUGGGGGAGAGAAAGGGUACGUGCAUAGAAGACAUUUGGGAAAUUAAGGUGUUUUCAUUACAGAAUAGUGAAGAGAAGUCCUUUCUUACCAUGUCUCUCUACCUCGCUUUGGCUGAGCAGGCCUACCAUCUGUGUUGGCAGGAAGUUUGCCCUUAGCUGUCUGGUGUCAUGAUGUUUCUCAAUUCUGGAGUACCUGCCCUGGUUCCUGGCAUUGGCCAAGCUGCCUUUCUGGACUGUAGUUGCAUGGAUUGGCGGAGGGUCGAUGGAUUGAAUACAGGAUUGGACCGAUAAAGACCUAGAUUCUGGAUAUUAUCCCCCACUGGCUCACCAUAAAGCUCUGGACAAAUCA